AACGAACGCUGGCGGCAGGCCUAACACAUGCAAGUCGAGCGAGGUAGCAAUACCUAGCGGCGGACGGGGGAGUAACGCGCGGGAACGUGCCCUUUGCUACGGAAUAGCCCUGGGAAACUGGGAGUAAUACCGUAUGUGCCCUUUGGGGGAAAGAUUUAUCGGAAAAGGAUCGGCACGCGUUAGAUUAGGUAGAUGGUGGGGUAAUGGCCUACCGAUCCGACGAUCUAUAGCUGGUUUGAGAGGAUGAUCAGCCACACUGGGACUGAGGCACGGCCCAGACUCCUACGGGAGGCAGCAGGGGGGAAUCUUAGACAAUGGGCGCAAGCCUGAUCUAGCCAUGCCGCGUGAGCGAUGAAGGCCUUAGGGUUGUAAAGCUCUUUCGUGGGGGAAGAUAAUGACUGUACCCCAAGAAGAAGCCCCGGCUAACUCCGUGCCAGCCGCCGCGGUAA
Molecule: ribosomal RNA, 449 nt
Filed under: uncultured bacterium
Lineage: Bacteria
Description: partial 16S ribosomal RNA
Rfam family: Bacterial small subunit ribosomal RNA
Source: RNAcentral